This 450-nucleotide ribosomal RNA is filed under the name uncultured bacterium. RNAcentral's name for it is "bacterial SSU rRNA". It matches the Rfam family "Bacterial small subunit ribosomal RNA", at positions 45 to 492 of the family's 1533-position model. The record is from RNAcentral.
GGCCUAACACAUGCAAGUCGAACGAGAUUAAGGGGCUUGCUCCUUAUGAAAGUGGCGCACGGGUGCGUAACGCGUAUGCAACCUACCUUAAUCAGGGGGAUAGCCCGAAGAAAUUCGGAUUAACACCGCAUAAAAACACAGAGCAGCAUUGCUCAAUGUUCAAAUAUUUAUAGGAUUAAGAUGGGCAUGCGUGUCAUUAGCUAGUUGGCGGGGUAACGGCCCACCAAGGCGACGAUGACUAGGGGAUCUGAGAGGAUGACCCCCCACACUGGUACUGAGACACGGACCAGACUCCUACGGGAGGCAGCAGUAAGGAAUAUUGGUCAAUGGAGGGAACUCUGAACCAGCCAUGCCGCGUGCAGGAAGACUGCCCUAUGGGUUGUAAACUGCUUUUAUCCGGGAAUAAACCACGAUACGUGUAUUGUGCUGAAUGUACCGGAAGAAUAAGGA